AAAAAAGAUAUUAAGGGCCAUAGGUGGAUGCCUUGGCUAGUAGAGGCGAUGAAGGACGUACUAGGCUGCGAUAAGCCUCGGGGAGCUGCCAAGAAGCUUUGAUCCGGGGAUUUCCGAAUGGGGCAACCCGGCAUGGCGCGAGUCAUGUCACCUUCGGGGGCGAACGCAGGGAAGUGAAACAUCUCAGUACCUGCAGGAAAAGAAAUCAAACGAGAUUCCCAAAGUAGCGGCGAGCGAAAUGGGAUUAGGGCACUUAGCGAUAGCAUAUUAGAUAGCAGAAGGAAUUGGAAAGUUCCGGCACAGAGGGUGAUACCCCCGUAAGCGAAAUCUUUUAUGCGGUACUAGGUUAAGGAAUGAGUAGGUCGGGACACGUGUUAUCUUGACUGAAUAUGGGGGGACCACCCUCCAACCCUAAAUACUACUACUAGACCGAUAGCGAACAAGUACCGUGAGGGAAAGGUGAAAAGAACCGCGGCGAGCGGAGUGAAAUAGAACCUGAAACCUAUGGCCUACAAUCAUUCGGAGCCGUAUUCUUUAUGAACGGUGACGGACUGCCUUUUGCAUAAUGAGCCUGCGAGUUGUGGUAUCUGGCAAGGUUAAACGAACGUGAAGCCGUAGCGAAAGCGAGUCUUAAUAGGGCG
Molecule: ribosomal RNA, 641 nt
Filed under: Campylobacterales bacterium
Lineage: Bacteria; Pseudomonadati; Campylobacterota; Epsilonproteobacteria; Campylobacterales
Description: partial 23S ribosomal RNA
Rfam family: Bacterial large subunit ribosomal RNA
Source: RNAcentral